AGGACGACGCUGGCGGCGUGCUUAACACAUGCAAGUCGAGCGGGGACAUGAAGAAGCUUGCUUCGAAAUGUCUAGCGGCGGACGGGUGAGUAACGCGUGAGCAACCUUUCCUCUACUGGGGAAUAACACAGGGAAACUUGUACUAAUACCGCAUGAGACCACAGGAGCUGCAUGGCUUAGGGGUCAAAGAUUUAUCGGUAGAGGGUGGGCUCGCGUCUGAUUAGGUAGUUGGUGAGGUAACGGCCCACCAAGCCGACGAUCAGUAGCCGACCUGAGAGGGUGAUCGGCCACAUUGGGACUGAGACACGGCCCAAACUCCUACGGGAGGCAGCAGUGGGGAAUAUUGGGCAAUGGGGGAAACCCUGACCCAGCAACGCCGCGUGGAGGAAGAAGGUUUUCGGAUCGUAAACUCCUGUCCUCAGGGAAGAGCAGAAGACGGUACCUGAGGAGGAAGCCCCGGCUAACUACGUG
This 471-nucleotide ribosomal RNA is filed under the name uncultured bacterium. Its description in RNAcentral is "bacterial SSU rRNA". It matches the Rfam family "Bacterial small subunit ribosomal RNA", at positions 33 to 507 of the family's 1533-position model. The record is from RNAcentral.